AACGAACGCUGGCGGCGUGCCUAACACAUGCAAGUCGAGCGGGAAAGCCCGCAAGGGUGAGUACAGCGGCGCACGGGUGCGUAACACGUGGGUAAUCUGCCCAGAAGCCCGGAAUAACCUUCCGAAAGGAAAGCUAAUACCGGAUGAGACCACGGGGACCUCGGUUCCCGCGGGAAAAGGUGGCCUCUGCAUGCAAGCUAUCACUUCUGGAUGAGCCCGCGGCCCAUCAGCUCGUUGGCGGGGUAAUGGCCCACCAAGGCUACGACGGGUAGCUGGUCUGCGAGGACGAUCAGCCACACUGGAACUGGGACACGGUCCAGACUCCUACGGGAGGCAGCAGUGGGGAAUCUUGCGCAAUGGGCGAAAGCCUGACGCAGCAACGCCGCGUGUGUGAUGAAGGUCUUCGGAUCGUAAAGCACUGUCGGGAGGGACGAAUAAGGGCCGGGUGAACAAUCCGGUCUGAUGACGGUACCUCCAAAGGAAGCACCGGCUAACUCUGUGCCAGCCGCCGCCGUAAUAC
Molecule: ribosomal RNA, 520 nt
Filed under: uncultured bacterium
Lineage: Bacteria
Description: bacterial SSU rRNA
Rfam family: Bacterial small subunit ribosomal RNA
Source: RNAcentral